Molecule: ribosomal RNA, 305 nt
Filed under: uncultured bacterium
Lineage: Bacteria
Description: bacterial SSU rRNA
Rfam family: Bacterial small subunit ribosomal RNA
Source: RNAcentral
UCCUACGGGAGGCAGCAGUAGGGAAUCUUUCACAAUGGGGAAACCCUGAUGGUGCGACGCCGCGUGAGGGAAUGAAGGUCUUCGGACUGUAAACCCCUGUCAUGUGGGAGCAAAUUAAAAAGAUAGUACCACAAGAGGAAGAGACGGCUAACUCUGUGCCAGCAGCCGCGGUAAUACGGAGGUCUCAAGCGUUGUUCGGAAUCACUGGGCGUAAAGCGUGCGUAGGCUGUUUCGUAAGUCGUGUGUGAAAGGCGCGGGCUCAACCCGCGGACGGCACAUGAUACUGCGAGACUAGAGUAAUGGAG